Ailuropoda melanoleuca (giant panda) is the source of this 2144-nucleotide long non-coding RNA. RefSeq lists it as uncharacterized. The transcript has 3 exons. NCBI's taxonomy places the organism in Eukaryota, Metazoa, Chordata, Mammalia, Carnivora, Ursidae. The record is from RefSeq and is a predicted model, not a curated record.
AAUCACGCACAACCUUUGCAGAUUACUGCAGGCUGACUCCCCACAGAGAACAGUUACUACCUUCCGCGCCCACAGGGGAUUGCCAGCAUCGGAUCACAGAUACCGGACAAAAAACAUGCAGAAAAAAUUUCAUUAAUAUGAAAAUGCAAGCUGAAGAGAAUAAAACAUAAACAAACAUGAAUAUUUUACAAGGCCCAGGAACUCAAAGUCGUGCAUGAUUUAGCUUACAGUCACCUCCUGAUUAUCCAUCCAAGUGGAAGUAAUGCUAACCUGGAUGACAGGCAAUCUCGAUCAAGUACUCAUGUAUACCAGAACCUGUGCUAGCUCACUGAAUCUUUACAACUACCCUAUGAAAUGAUAAAAGCUGCACGAGGAGAUUAAAUAACUUGCCCAAUUGCGCAGCUCGUAGUGAAGAGGCAGAGUUCCGAGUCUCCUGAUUUCAAAUCUAACACUCUACUAUACAACGCUGCCCUUGAUGUCCUGCUGCAAGGUGUCCAGCACAUUACCCACACUGAUGCUUCCCCUGAAUGUUUUUAAGUCCCUGAUUCUAAAGAAAGCAACUCACAACCAACAGCAUAAGCUAAUCUCGGGUUUCUCUUCCCAAAGAUCAUUGGCAGUAGGGCCAAACAAAGGCAAAUGUGACUGGGACCAUGGACAACGUAUGGACUGGUCUCAUAUAUACUCUGUGCAUUUUUAAAUUACCUUAGGCUUAGCAUUUAGUAAGUAUUCAAAUAAAUGUCUGCUGAAGAAAUGCAUAAAUGAGAGCAAAUUAGGAGUCAAAGGACCUGGAAAGUAGGCUGGUUACAGUAUUAGCUGUGGAUAAUCAAGAGUUGACUGUAGUUAACACAUUUACCAAUAAGAAAAAUGAUACAAAUUCUUUCCCUCACAUUCAAAUUCACUGUCCUAUGUACACAUCCAUUAAAAAAAUUACACACACACACAAGCACAUUUCUUGAGAAGGCAAGCCAGUUUCAAAACUUAAGAUGUACAUAAGCAUAUUAAUACAAGUUAUCAUGCAAACCAUGAAAAACAUAGUGUGCAAUUCAGCCCUGAAGGAGCUACCUUCAAAGAAGAAUAAAGAAUCGGCAGAAAAUGCUCUGCAAGAAACCAAGACAAGGGCUAAAAGGAGAAAAAAGCAAACAAAGACCAUCACCUGGAGAACUUUGGAGAGUUAAGCUGUAGUAAUAGAAGCUGCUCUUUACUGACAACUUACCUUAGGAAGAUGUUAUUAGAACCUGCACUGUUCUUAUAUGGACACACAUUUUAUCAUCAUUCUAUGUUACAGAUUUACCACCUUCCAUUACUUAGCUUAAUUCAAUUCAAAUUAUUUUCAUAUUCAUUACCUUGUUUAGUCCUCACAACUCUGUGAGGGUGGCAGGACAGGUAAAUCAUCCUCAUAUUAAAAAUGAGGAAACUGAAGAACAGGAGUUAAAUAACUUGCAAAAAGACAAAGAGUAAUAUCAACAUUAAAGUUAAUUAAAUUAAUAUUUAUUGGUGGCAGGAGAGGGGGAUUAUUAUAGUUUAAAUGGCACCAGAAGUUUUACUUUAAUGUUACUACAUUUCUUUUAUAGGUUAAAUGACCUACUAUGUGAAGAGUUACUUUUUGAAACUGGAAAACAUUAUAUAACUGUAGAUGAUAUUAUCACCAGAUAUUCUGCAGAAGAUAACGGAAAAUAUUUUUCAAAUGCAGGCUCUUCGAAUAAGAUCCAGAAUUCUUUUUGAAACAUAGAAUAGUCUUUUGGAAUACUGAAAAAACAGUAAACUCUACCCCCAAAGUGGGGCUUGAACUCACAAACCUGAGACUCAGAGUUACAUGCUCUGCUGAGACAGCCAGGUGCCCCAACUUGUAGUGAUUUAUACCAAGGAAUUACUAUUAUGUAUGCAUAAGUACAUAUUUACAAAGAUUUUCUCUGCAGUAUUGUUUCUAGUAAAAAAAAUGGAAGCAACCUAAAUAUUCAUCAAUAAGAGUAGGUUAAAUAAAUUAUUGUGGAUCCAUAUAAUGGAGCACAAUAUAAACUUUGAAAAAAAUAAAAAAGAUUAUGUGUGUAUAUUUGUGUGUGCACAUGUGUGUGGGUAUGGUUUUUAACUUGGAGAGCUAUGAUAUAUAUACCAUUUUGUAAAAAAAAAAUAAUAAGAUGCAAAAU